UCCCUGGAGGACUAGUGGUUAGGCCACGGUGCUCUCAUCUCUGCGGCCUGGGUUCGAUUUCCGGCCAGGGAA
This 72-nucleotide transfer RNA is filed under the name Pangasius djambal. RNAcentral's name for it is "tRNA-Glu". It matches the Rfam family "tRNA". Rfam says of the family: Transfer RNA (tRNA) molecules are approximately 80 nucleotides in length. The record is from RNAcentral. Lineage: Eukaryota; Metazoa; Chordata; Actinopteri; Siluriformes; Pangasiidae.